RNAcentral lists this ribosomal RNA (301 nucleotides) under uncultured bacterium. Its description in RNAcentral is "partial 16S ribosomal RNA". It matches the Rfam family "Bacterial small subunit ribosomal RNA", at positions 509 to 807 of the family's 1533-position model. The record is from RNAcentral.
CAGCAGCCGCGGGAAUACAGAGGGUGCGAGCGUUAAUCGGAUUUACUGGGCGUAAAGCGUGCGUAGGCGGCUUCUUAAGUCGGAUGUGAAAUCCCUGAGCUUAACUUAGGAAUUGCAUUCGAUACUGGGAAGCUAGAGUAUGGGAGAGGAUGGUAGAAUUCCAGGUGUAGCGGUGAAAUGCGUAGAGAUCUGAAGGAAUACCGAUGGCGAAGGCAGCCAUCUGGCCUAAUACUGACGCUGAGGUACGAAAGCAUGGGGAGCAAACAGGAUUAGAUACCCCGGUAGUCCCUGUCUCUUAUAC